Molecule: ribosomal RNA, 497 nt
Filed under: uncultured bacterium
Lineage: Bacteria
Description: partial 16S ribosomal RNA
Rfam family: Bacterial small subunit ribosomal RNA
Source: RNAcentral
GAUGAACGCUGGCGGCGUGCCUAAUACAUGCGAGUCGAGCGAACAGACGAGGAGCUUUCUCCUCUGACGUUAGCGGCGGACGGGUGAGUAACACGUGGAUAACCUACCUAUAAGACUGGGAUAACUUCGGGAAACCGGAGCUAAUACCGGAUAAUAUAUUGAACCGCAUGGUUCAAUAGUGAAAGACGGUUUUGCUGUCACUUAUAGAUGGAUCCGCGCCGCAUUAGCUAGUUGGUAAGGUAACGGCUUACCAAGGCAACGAUGCGUAGCCGACCUGAGAGGGUGAUCGGCCACACUGGAACUGAGACACGGUCCAGACUCCUACGGGAGGCAGCAGUAGGGAAUCUUCCGCAAUGGGCGAAAGCCUGACGGAGCAACGCCGCGUGAGUGAUGAAGGUCUUCGGAUCGUAAAACUCUGUUAUUAGGGAAGAACAAAUGUGUAAGUAACUAUGCACGUCUUGACGGUACCUAAUCAGAAAGCCACGGCUAACUACGUG